RNAcentral lists this ribosomal RNA (440 nucleotides) under uncultured Hyphomicrobiales bacterium. RNAcentral's name for it is "bacterial SSU rRNA". It matches the Rfam family "Bacterial small subunit ribosomal RNA", at positions 338 to 795 of the family's 1533-position model. Lineage: Bacteria; Pseudomonadati; Pseudomonadota; Alphaproteobacteria; Hyphomicrobiales. The record is from RNAcentral.
CCUACGGGAGGCUGCAGUGGGGAAUCUUGGACAAUGGGCGCAAGCCUGAUCCAGCCAUGCCGCGUGAGUGAAGAAGGCCUUCGGGUUGUAAAGCUCUUUUGUCAGGGACGAUAAUGACGGUACCUGAAGAAUAAGCCCCGGCAAACUUCGUGCCAGCAGCCGCGGUAAUACGAAGGGGGCUAGCGUUGUUCGGAAUUACUGGGCGUAAAGCGCACGUAGGCUGACAUUUAAGUCAGGGGUGAAAUCCCGAGGCUCAACCUCGGAACUGCCCUUGAUACUGGGUGUCUCGAGUCCGGAAGAGGUUAGUGGAAUUCCCAGUGUAGAGGUGAAAUUCGUAGAUAUUGGGAAGAACACCAGUGGCGAAGGCGGCUAACUGGUCCGGUACUGACGCUGAGGUGCGAAAGCGUGGGGAGCAAACAGGAUUAGAUACCCCGGUAGUC